Non-coding RNA from Helianthus annuus (common sunflower), 106 nucleotides. NCBI's taxonomy places the organism in Eukaryota, Viridiplantae, Streptophyta, Magnoliopsida, Asterales, Asteraceae. The record is from Rfam.
AUGCCAUGAUGUGGACAUUUUCAUAACAACUCCUUGAACCGCCUGAAAGCUUCAUGAAAUGUCUCCCCUGAAUGCUGUUGAAAAGCUCUGAUUGCUUCCCGAGCUU